UACGGAGGGAGCUAGCGUUGUUCGGAAUUACUGGGCGUAAAGCGCGCGUAGGCGGCUUUUUAAGUCAGAGGUGAAAGCCCGGGGCUCAACCCCGGAAUAGCCUUUGAAACUGCAGAGCUUGAGUCUCGGAGAGGAUGGCGGAAUUCCGCAAGUAGAGGUGAAAUUCGUAGAUAUUCGCAAGAACACCAGUGGCGAAGGCGGCUUACUGGUCCGGUUCUGACGCUGAGGCGCGAAAGCGUGGGGAGCAAACAGG
This 253-nucleotide ribosomal RNA is filed under the name uncultured bacterium. RNAcentral describes it as "partial 16S ribosomal RNA". It matches the Rfam family "Bacterial small subunit ribosomal RNA", at positions 524 to 776 of the family's 1533-position model. The record is from RNAcentral.